Molecule: ribosomal RNA, 535 nt
Filed under: uncultured bacterium
Lineage: Bacteria
Description: bacterial SSU rRNA
Rfam family: Bacterial small subunit ribosomal RNA
Source: RNAcentral
AAUAGAUACCCGGGUAGUCCACGCCGUAAACGAUGCUAACUCGUUUUUGGGCCUUUGGGUUCAGAGACUAAGCGAAAGUGAUAAGUUAGCCACCUGGGGAGUACGUUCGCAAGAAUGAAACUCAAAGGAAUUGACGGGGGCCCGCACAAGCGGUGGAUUAUGUGGUUUAAUUCGAUGAUACGCGAGGAACCUUACCAAGGCUUAAAUGGGAAAUGACAGGCUUAGAAAUAGGCUUUUCUUCGGACAUUUUUCAAGGUGCUGCAUGGUUGUCGUCAGCUCGUGCCGUGAGGUGUUAGGUUAAGUCCUGCAACGAGCGCAACCCCUGUCACUAGUUGCCAUCAUUAAGUUGGGGACUCUAGUGAGACUGCCUACGCAAGUAGAGAGGAAGGUGGGGAUGACGUCAAAUCAUCACGGCCCUUACGCCUUGGGCCACACACGUAAUACAAUGGCCAGUACAGAGGGCAGCUACACAGCGAUGUGAUGCAAAUCUCGAAAGCUGGUCUCAGUUCGGAUUGGAGUCUGCAACUCGACUCUA